UACGUAGGGGGCUAGCGUUGUUCGGAAUCACUGGGCGUAAAGGGCGCGUAGGCGGCUUUAUAAGUCGGGGGUGAAAGCCUGUGGCUCAACCACAGAAUUGCCUUCGAUACUGUAGAGCUUGAGACCGGAAGAGGUAAGUGGAACUGCGAGUGUAGAGGUGAAAUUCGUAGAUAUUCGCAAGAACACCAGUGGCGAAGGCGGCUUACUGGUCCGGUUCUGACGCUGAGGCGCGAAAGCGUGGGGAGCAACAGG
This 252-nucleotide ribosomal RNA is filed under the name uncultured bacterium. Its description in RNAcentral is "partial 16S ribosomal RNA". It matches the Rfam family "Bacterial small subunit ribosomal RNA", at positions 524 to 775 of the family's 1533-position model. The record is from RNAcentral.